This 270-nucleotide unclassified non-coding RNA is filed under the name fungal sp. RNAcentral describes it as "partial internal transcribed spacer region". The stretch from base 1 to 46 matches the Rfam family "Eukaryotic small subunit ribosomal RNA", at positions 1786 to 1831 of the family's 1831-position model. Lineage: Eukaryota; Fungi. The record is from RNAcentral.
AAGUCGUAACAGGGUAACCGUAGGUGAACCUGCGGUUGGAUCAUUAAUAAAAUGUUUCUCAACCGAGGGUCUCGUUCUUUCACUAGGACUUGCCCUCAACACACACCUGUUGAACUGUAUUGAAGGCCAUGACGCUUCAUGCUGACUGGUUCUUUCACCCAACUCAUACAACCAAAGACCCUUUACAAGGCCUUUUUGACUGGAGCUUGCUCUAGGAAAUUUGACUAUACUAAAGAAAAACAACUUUUGACAACGGAUCUCUUGGCUCUC